ACGGGAGGCAGCAGUGAGGAAUAUUGGUCAAUGGGCGAGAGCCUGAACCAGCCAAGUAGCGUGCAGGAUGACGGCCCUAUGGGUUGUAAACUGCUUUUAUGUGGGAAUAAAGUGACUUACGUGUAGGUUUUUGCAUGUACCACAUGAAUAAGGACCGGCUAAUUCCGUGCCAGCAGCCGCGGUAAUACGGAAGGUCCGGGCGUUAUCCGGAUUUAUUGGGUUUAAAGGGUGCGCAGGCGGGAUGUCAAGUCAGUGGUGAAAUGGUGCGGCUCAACCGUAGCAUUGCCGUUGAAACUGGCGUCCUUGAGUGCGAAUGAGGUACGCGGAACGUGUCAUGUAGCGGUGAAAUGCAUAGAUAUGACACAGAACACCGAUUGCGAAGGCAGCGUACUGGGACGCGACUGACGCUGAGGCACGAAAGUGCGGGGAUCGAACAGGAUUAGAUACCCUGGUA
This 454-nucleotide ribosomal RNA is filed under the name uncultured Paludibacter sp. RNAcentral describes it as "bacterial SSU rRNA". It matches the Rfam family "Bacterial small subunit ribosomal RNA", at positions 341 to 792 of the family's 1533-position model. The record is from RNAcentral. Lineage: Bacteria; Pseudomonadati; Bacteroidota; Bacteroidia; Bacteroidales; Paludibacteraceae.